GAUGAACGCUGGCGGCGUGCCUAAUACAUGCAAGUCGAGCGAACGGACGAGAAGCUUGCUUCUCUGAUGUUAGCGGCGGACGGGUGAGUAACACGUGGAUAACCUACCUAUAAGACUGGGAUAACUUCGGGAAACCGGAGCUAAUACCGGAUAAUAUUUUGAACCGCAUGGUUCAAAAGUAAAAGACGGUCUUGCUGUCACUUAUAGAUGGAUCCGCGCUGCAUUAGCUAGUUGGUAAGGUAACGGCUUACCUAGGCAACGAUGCAUAGCCGACCUGAGAGGGUGAUCGGCCACACUGGAACUGAGACACGGUCCAGACUCCUACGGGAGGCAGCAGUAGGGAAUCUUCCGCAAUGGGCGAAAGCCUGACGGAGCAACGCCGCGUGAGUGAUGAAGGUCUUCGGAUCGUAAAACUCUGUUAUUAGGGAAGAACAUAUGUGUAAGUAACUGUGCACAUCUUGACGGUACCUAAUCAGAAAGCCACGGCUAACUACGUG
Molecule: ribosomal RNA, 497 nt
Filed under: uncultured bacterium
Lineage: Bacteria
Description: partial 16S ribosomal RNA
Rfam family: Bacterial small subunit ribosomal RNA
Source: RNAcentral